AGUGAACGCUGGCGGUAGGCCUAACACAUGCAAGUCGAACGGCAGCACAGUAAGAGCUUGCUCUUACGGGUGGCGAGUGGCGGACGGGUGAGGAAUACAUCGGAAUCUACUUUUUCGUGGGGGAUAACGUAGGGAAACUUACGCUAAUACCGCAUACGACCUACGGGUGAGAGCAGGGGAUCUUCGGACCUUGCGCGAUUGAAUGAGCCGAUGUCGGAUUAGCUAGUUGGCGGGGUAAAGGCCCACCAAGGCGACGAUCCGUAGCUGGUCUGAGAGGAUGAUCAGCCACACUGGAACUGAGACACGGUCCAGACUCCUACGGGGGGCAGGAGUGGGGAAUAUUGGACAAUGGGCGCAAGCCUGAUCCAGCCAUACCGCGUGGGUGAAGAAGGCCUUCGGGUUGUAAAGCCCUUUUGUUGGGAAAGAAAAGCAGCAGGUUAAUACCCCGCUGUUCUGACGGUACCCAAAGAAUAAGCACCGGCUAACUUCGU
RNAcentral lists this ribosomal RNA (491 nucleotides) under uncultured bacterium. Its description in RNAcentral is "partial 16S ribosomal RNA". It matches the Rfam family "Bacterial small subunit ribosomal RNA", at positions 29 to 506 of the family's 1533-position model. The record is from RNAcentral.